This 912-nucleotide ribosomal RNA is filed under the name uncultured bacterium. RNAcentral's name for it is "bacterial SSU rRNA". It matches the Rfam family "Bacterial small subunit ribosomal RNA", at positions 33 to 927 of the family's 1533-position model. The record is from RNAcentral.
ACGCUGGCGGCGUGCCUAAUACAUGCAAGUAGAACGCUGAAGAGAGGAGCUUGCUCUUCUUGGAUGAGUUGCGAACGGGUGAGUAACGCGUAGGUAACCUGCCUUGUAGCGGGGGAUAACUAUUGGAAACGAUAGCUAAUACCGCAUAACAAUGGAUGACACAUGUCAUUUAUUUGAAAGGGGCAAUUGCUCCACUACAAGAUGGACCUGCGUUGUAUUAGCUAGUAGGUGAGGUAACGGCUCACCUAGGCGACGAUACAUAGCUGACCUGAGAGGGUGAUCGGCCACACUGGGACUGAGACACGGCCCAGACUCCUACGGGAGGCAGCAGUAGGGAAUCUUCGGCAAUGGGGGCAACCCUGACCGAGCAACGCCGCGUAAGUGAAGAAGGUUUUCGGAUCGUAAAGCUCUGUUGUAAGUCAAGAACGAGUGUGAGAGUGGAAAGUUCACACUGUGACGGUAGCUUACCAGAAAGGGACGGCUAACUACGUGCCAGCAGCCGCGGUAAUACGUAGGUCCCGAGCGUUGUCCGGAUUUAUUGGGCGUAAAGCGAGCGCAGGCGGUUUGAUAAGUCUGAAGUUAAAGGCUGUGGCUCAACCAUAGUUCGCUUUGGAAACUGUCAAACUUGAGUGCAGAAGGGGAGAGUGGAAUUCCAUGUGUAGCGGUGAAAUGCGUAGAUAUAUGGAGGAACACCGGUGGCGAAAGCGGCUCUCUGGUCUGUAACUGACGCUGAGGCUCGAAAGCGUGGGGAGCGAACAGGAUUAGAUACCCUGGUAGUCCACGCCGUAAACGAUGAGUGCUAGGUGUUGGAUCCUUUCCGGGAUUCAGUGCCGCAGCUAACGCAUUAAGCACUCCGCCUGGGGAGUACGACCGCAAGGUUGAAACUCAAAGGAAUUGACGGGGGCCCGCACA